Molecule: ribosomal RNA, 453 nt
Filed under: uncultured bacterium
Lineage: Bacteria
Description: bacterial SSU rRNA
Rfam family: Bacterial small subunit ribosomal RNA
Source: RNAcentral
UACGGAAGGCAGCAGUGGGGAAUAUUGCACAAUGGGCGCAAGCCUGAUGCAGCCAUGCCGCGUGUAUGAAAAAGGCCUUUCGGGUUGUAAAGUACUUUCAGUCGUGAGGAAGGUGUUAAGGUUAAUAACCUUAGCAAUUGACGUUAGCGACAGAAGAAGCACCGGCUAACUCCGUGCCAGCAGCCGCGGUAAUACGGAGGGUGCGAGCGUUAAUCGGAAUUACUGGGCGUAAAGGGCACGCAGGCGGUUAAUUAAGUUGGAUGUGAAAUCCCCGGGCUUAACCUGGGAAUGGCAUUCAAGACUGGUUAGCUAGAGUCUUGUAGAGGGGGUAGAAUUCCAUGUGUAGCGGUGAAAUGCGUAGAGAUGUGGAGGAAUACCGGUGGCGAAGGCGGCCCUGGACAAAGACUGACGCUCAUGUGCGAAAGCGUGGGGAGCAAACAGGGAUUAGAUACC